RNAcentral lists this ribosomal RNA (587 nucleotides) under Hydractinia pacifica. RNAcentral describes it as "partial 16S ribosomal RNA". It matches the Rfam family "Bacterial large subunit ribosomal RNA", at positions 1833 to 2597 of the family's 2925-position model. Lineage: Eukaryota; Metazoa; Cnidaria; Hydrozoa; Anthoathecata; Hydractiniidae. The record is from RNAcentral.
GCCCUUGAAUUAAUCAAAGGUGUAACCUGCCCAAUGAUCUUAGAUUUAAUAAAAAUAAUCUUUUAUAAUAAGAUUUAAAGGACGCAGUAACCUGACUGUGAUAAUGUAGCAUAAUCAUUUGCCAUUUAAUUGAUGGAUAGUAUGAAUGGUUGAACGAAUUCUUCACUGUCUUAAAAAGAGAAAUCAUGAAAUUUAAAUAAUAGUUAAGAUGCUAUUUAAAAUUGUAAGACGAAAAGACCCUAUAGAGCUUAACUAUUGACUUUUUAAAAAAAAUAAAUUUUUAUAUUAGAAAGUUAGGUAGUUUAGUUGGGGCGACUAUCUUCUAAAAAUAACGAAGACAAGCAAUGUUAAUAAUUAACUUAUUGUAAAAUCAAUAAAUUUAACAAUUACAAAAGUAGGCUAUAAUGACCCGUUAUAUAAAAAUAAUAUUAAUAACGAUUAAUAAAUAAAAGCUACCUUAGGGAUAACAGGAUAAUUUUGUUUUAGAGAUCCUAUCGAAAACAAAGUUUGUCACCUCUAUGUUGAAUUAAGAUAUCCUGAUAAUGCAGAAGUUAUCAAAGGUAGGUCUGUUCGACCUUUAAAAUCUU